RNAcentral lists this ribosomal RNA (337 nucleotides) under uncultured bacterium. RNAcentral describes it as "partial 16S ribosomal RNA". It matches the Rfam family "Bacterial small subunit ribosomal RNA", at positions 338 to 672 of the family's 1533-position model. The record is from RNAcentral.
CCUACGGGUGGCAGCAGUGAGGAAUAUUGGUCAAUGGGCGCGAGCCUGAACCAGCCAAGUAGCGUGCAGGAUGACUGCCCUACGGGUUGUAAACUUCUUUUAUAAAGGAAUAAAGUGAGACACGUGUGCCUUUUUGAAGGUACUUUAUGAAUAAGGAUCGGCUAACUCCGUGCCAGCAGCCGCGGUAAUACGGAGGAUCCGAGCGUUAUCCGGAUAUAUUGGGUUUAAAGGGAGCGUAGAUGGGUUGUUAAGUUAGUUGUGAAAGGUAGCGGCUCAAUCGUACAAUUGCAUUUGAUACUGUGAGUCUUGAGUACAGGUGAGGUAGGCGGAAUUCGUG